AACGAACGCUGGCGGCAUGCCUAACACAUGCAAGUCGAACGAACCCUUCGGGGUUAGUGGCGCACGGGUGCGUAACGCGUGGGAAUCUGCCCUUUGCUUCGGAAUAACACAGAGAAAUUUGUGCUAAUACCGGAUAAUGUCGCAAGACCAAAGAUUUAUCGGCAAAGGAUGAGCCCGCGUAAGAUUAGCUAGUUGGUGGGGUAAUGGCCUACCAAGGCGACGAUCUUUAGCUGGUCUGAGAGGAUGAUCAGCCACACUGGGACUGAGACACGGCCCAGACUCCUACGGGAGGCAGCAGUGGGGAAUAUUGGACAAUGGGCGAAAGCCUGAUCCAGCAAUGCCGCGUGAGUGAUGAAGGCCUCGGUUGUAAGAC
Molecule: ribosomal RNA, 373 nt
Filed under: uncultured bacterium
Lineage: Bacteria
Description: bacterial SSU rRNA
Rfam family: Bacterial small subunit ribosomal RNA
Source: RNAcentral